AGUGAGCGCUGGCGGUAGGCCUAACACAUGCAAGUCGAACGGCAGCACAGUAAGAGCUUGCUCUUACGGGUGGCGAGUGGCGGACGGGUGAGGAAUACAUCGGAAUCUACUUUUUCGUGGGGGAUAACGUAGGGAAACUUACGCUAAUACCGCAUACGACCUACGGGUGAAAGCAGGGGAUCUUCGGACCUUGCGCGAUUGAAUGAGCCGAUGUCGGAUUAGCUAGUUGGCGGGGUAAAGGCCCACCAAGGCGACGAUCCGUAGCUGGUCUGAGAGGAUGAUCAGCCACACUGGAACUGAGACACGGUCCAGACUCCUACGGGAGGCAGCAGUGGGGAAUAUUGGACAAUGGGCGCAAGCCUGAUCCAGCCAUACCGCGUGGGUGAAGAAGGCCUUCGGGUUGUAAAGCCCUUUUGUUGGGAAAGAAAAGCAGCAGGUUAAUACCCCGCUGUUCUGACGGUACCCAAAGAAUAAGCACCGGCUAACCUCGUG
Molecule: ribosomal RNA, 492 nt
Filed under: uncultured bacterium
Lineage: Bacteria
Description: partial 16S ribosomal RNA
Rfam family: Bacterial small subunit ribosomal RNA
Source: RNAcentral